Molecule: long non-coding RNA, 1706 nt
Organism: Canis lupus familiaris (dog)
Lineage: Eukaryota; Metazoa; Chordata; Mammalia; Carnivora; Canidae
Exons: 3
Source: RefSeq, a predicted model, not a curated record
CUCCCUACAAGGCUUUCACCAGGGCUGGCAUCGCUACAGCAGGUGGUGGAGGCUGCCACAGUCUCAAUGCGCAUUUUAUCACCUGCACACGAAUGACUUCCUUUUCAAGGAAGCCACGCUCAGGCGGUGCACAGUAAUCAUCACCCACUUGCAUUGCUGAAGUCAACGUCAGGUCUUCUGGGGUGCCGUGCUGUUUGGAACGCGGGAAGAAUAAACCAGAAACUAAUGCCUUGAAGUCUCCCCAGCACCUAGUUCUUCCUGAAGGGCCACCCCCGGGUGUGCUGGGCCUUUGGCCCCUGCCAGCCAUCUGGAGAUCCAGGGCCACCCAGCGAGGGCAAAAGUGGGGCAAGGCCUGCUAUCUCAGCCCCAGACCGUGCGGGCUUUGACCCAGCUCUCUCUCUACGUCUUUAGUCUCGUGUUUUCCAAGCAAAGGCUUCACGUGGUCAGUGCUGUGUUGAUUUCCCAUCACUUGACGUCUCUACAGGCGGGUCCUACGUCUCUCUGGCCAUCCCGGAGUCUAGGGUGCUGUGGGGCUAGAACCACAGCCCAGGAUCUAGGCCUCACUCAUCAAAGGGUGGCCCACGGGCCAGCAGCGGGCGCAUCCACCUGCUUAGAACGGCGGGGUCUCGGGCUUCACCCUGACCUCAAAAUCACAAUCUGCAUCUUCACAAACCCCACCCCCAGGGGGUCUGUACAUAUUAAAGAUGCAGGGUGGGGAAGAGCGCUCAAUCCCAGACAUCAGCUACCGAGACAAACCAAGGGAAAUCAUCCAGGGCAGCACAUCGGGCAAUGAAGGGAAAAGGCUGGACGGAGAAGAUGCACCUUUGAGGAGAAGGAGGCGGCCGCGAGGAGCAGCCUGCGGCACCCCGAGAGCCAGCGGAGGGCAGGGGCAGCUGGCUGAGGACGUCCAACCAGAGCAGCACGGAAGGCAAGCUGCAGGACGCUGGUGCCCAGAGAAGGGGUGGGCCGUGCCGCAGGGCGUGGGAAGCUGGGUGCUCCCGCCCCGUACCCAACUCUGCCUCAGCAAAGUCAACCCUGCAGACACCCUAGCAAGGGGUCGUGGCUGCAACAAGGUCAGAAGCCAGACCGACCACCGGGGGAGAGACGGCAGGCUGCGGAGUGGCUAAGCCUUGGUCAUCCUGGAAGUAGGUCUUUGGGGGUUUGGGAGAAGGUGGGACGAGGCACGGGGUCUUCUCAAAGCCGAAAGCUUCAACACGCGGCCCAGUUCUCCGAGCAGCCCAACCUUCUAAGGCAAGCCUGCGGGAGGCCCUGUGAAGCCGCGCUGCAGACUGAGGGCUGCCUGCCUAGAAAGGCCACGAUAUGUGCCUCGCUCAAGGACACAUGCGUACGUCCAAGGGCAAUCCUGUCAGGGAUAUGGAGGCACGUGCACCGCUUUCUAAGGCUGAUCCUCGAGGGAUGCCGUCGAGUGUCUGCAGAACCGGCACUUCCUGAGCACUGUUAACCUCGUGUAUUUGGCUUCUCUGCCUCAGAGGCUCCCCAUGGAGCUGAGUAAGGUCGACAUCGUGAGACUCAAUAGCGUCUUACACAGGGAACGUGUGGGGCGAUGAGGGCCAGGGUGUUCCAUGUUGUACCAAGGGUUCCCACCGCAGUCAGCAUCACCCUCAGACUUGCCCCCUUGCCAAGGGCUACUGCAAACGACCGGGAUGCUUCCACUACACAAGCACGGCCAUGACGUGCAUUAUACA